UGCUAUCACUAGAAAUCCACAAUCCGUCUGAUCGUCUUCUUCUGAACCUCCUUUGAAACGUCACAUUUCCACAUUCAUGAAUCUUAAAACCCCAUUAUUAACUGCAACAAUCAAUGGCUAUUCAACUCUUACCCUUCCCUAAAACUUAUAGCUACAUAUACCUCUUCUCCAAAUCUCUGCGUUUCUGACUAAUUCUCCACAACGAAAUCAUCAGAGAGUGGAAAUCAAUCGCUGCCAGUUCCUGCCGGUUUACAAUCUCAGGUUCGAUGGUUUUCAUAUACUGCCUUGGAAACUCAGGUCUUCUUUAAUCCAGAGAUAUACAGCAAUGACUAUAUAAUCCAGUCUGCACCAAUUGACACUCGAAGAGCUUUGUAUAAGGUCUGAUACACAGAGUGCUCGCCUGCUCGGGGAUACUUAAGACUCUUUGCAAUACGUGAGAUAUGAUGAAAAUCUGGGCAAUGCGUGAGAAAGUUCUGGCACUCGGAGCGGUACAAGGAUGACCUUCGUUAUCUCAAAGUCUGGUUGGAACAUGCGGAGCAUUGCGCUGAUGCUGAAGUGAUUUACAAGUUCUUGGAAGUUAAUGAUAUUCGGAAGACACAUGCUUUGUACUACAUAGCUUACGCAUUGUACAUGGAGUUCAAGGGUAAGGUGAAGUAGGCUAAUGAGAUCUUCAAUCUAGGAAUCUCUAGAAAUGCAAAGCCUGUGGAGAAGUUGAAUGAUGCUCACAAGAAGUUCAUGGUGAGAACUAUGAGUUGGUCCAUAACAGUUGAUGAUCUAAGACGUUUCUUCUCUAUUUCCACAUGAUGAUUAAUGUUUAUUUUUAUUUUUAGAAAGCAACUGGUGAUAUGUAGAAGAUCGAAUAUAAGGAAAAUUAAUUAAGAAACGUCUUUGACGUUCUGUGUUCAUA
Raphanus sativus (radish) is the source of this 907-nucleotide long non-coding RNA. RefSeq lists it as uncharacterized. The transcript is spliced from 4 exons. The record is from RefSeq and is a predicted model, not a curated record. NCBI's taxonomy places the organism in Eukaryota, Viridiplantae, Streptophyta, Magnoliopsida, Brassicales, Brassicaceae.